Long non-coding RNA from Rana temporaria (common frog), 1696 nucleotides. RefSeq lists it as uncharacterized. The transcript is spliced from 3 exons. NCBI's taxonomy places the organism in Eukaryota, Metazoa, Chordata, Amphibia, Anura, Ranidae. The record is from RefSeq and is a predicted model, not a curated record.
GUGAGGGGCAUAACAGUGUGUACAGGGCUUUAGUGUGCAAAACAAAAACUUGUGCAAACUGCAAAUAAAAAAUGCAGUCCAACCAAGUCCAAACAAUGUGCAAAAAUGCAAUCACGCUGUGAACAUAGCAGCAAUAUGUUCUUUCUUCAAUGUGCAAAACAACAAGGGCAGAAGAUUUAAUAGAUGGAACGAUGAAAAGAUGACUGAAGGUCUGGCUGCUAUCAGUUAGCUCAGCCUUGAAUCAACAAAUUAAACUAAUAAAAAGUCCAAAUGCUGCUGAAGUUACCUGUGUUAGUUUUCUUGUCCACUGCUGGUUUGCUGAUGGUGAGAACAACAGGCUUCCCUUCACCCCCAGUCAAUGAAGUCAGGAUUUUUGGAGGAUCUAUGGGUGUCAUGACCCAAAAGUCAAAUUUACAUUAAAGAUUUACGAGGUAACUUGGAUUUGGAAGGUGUUCCUGGUCGGCAUAAAGAGUAACCAAUCAGUUAUAAUAAAAUCAAUUGCGAACUUAGGAUAUAUUUUGAACAGAAAUAGGGUUAAUUAUCAGAAAUUCAGAAGCAGUAUUUAAUUCAGACUUUUAUGUUUCUUCUUUAGCUAAAACCACCAUGAGCACCUUAUUGAGCACUAAUGUUAUCAGCAUCUGCAUGCCUUGCUUUACUAUCGUUAUAUAACUCAUUUCUCAGAUUGACAGAUUGGGGGUUAUUUACGAAAGGCAAAUCCACUUUGCACUACAAGUGCACUGAAAGUUCAGCCGCUGUAGAUCUGAGGGGAAGAUCUGGAACGAGGAGAAGCUCUACUGAUUUUGUCAUCCAAUCAUGUGCAAGAUAAAAUGCUGUUUUUUAUUUUUCUUGUUGAUAUGUAUGAUUCCGUGCUAUGGAAUAUGUUUACUAGCAGGUGCUAUAUGUAUAUGUGUGUUGUUCCAAGGAAAAUUAAUUGAAUUGCAGCCUCUACCUGUUACUGCCACCUGGGGAAGUAAAAGUGUAGGGAAAAAAUAGUAGUAGAUGUCGUGCUAUUCUAUUGCAUUCCCAUAAAUAAACUAAAAAUGACACUUGUGGAAUAAAAAUAUGAAAAUGUAAAUAAUUUAAAUGAUUUUAAAGUGCAUACGUGCAAUGGUGCAAUGUGAAAAAUGUCACAAUAAAUGAUCAAUUUGUGCAAUGCAAAAAAGUGCAUAAAUAGUGCUAAUGCAAUCAAUUGUAAACAACUUUUGUAAUCACAUAAAAGUCCAUGUUGGCAGGUAAACCACAAAUCCUGAAUGUUCCCACAUGUGCUGAAUUAUAUAAUGCAUGCUUAGUGCCCAGUGAAAGUAACACUCUUCUUUCAGUAGGUGGUCACUGCACUUUGUGUCCCUGCAAAGCCUGCACUCACCGGAUAUUCCACCCCCUCUUGGGGUAUGAAGCCUUCACAGUUUAUGCCACUGUGUAGCACUCUGGCGAUUAAAACGUCCCUUGUGCUGCUGCUGUUUUUCAGUGUGGCUCAUGUACAGAAGAAAAAAGACCCAAAUAGUGUCUUAUCGUUUAUAAAAAGGUUUAUUGAUAAAACUUAAAAAGUGGGUACUCACAAUUUGGCAAAGUUAAAAAGGCAUUGAUGCUAGCAGGAAGUGUUAUGGCGUUCUGCUAUCUGUGCUCGACCAGUUUCGUGUGCUGACGUCAUCUGUACCCUAGUGUUAACCCCUUCCCUGCCAGUCAUAUUUAUACAGCA